This 96-nucleotide Y RNA is filed under the name Microcebus murinus (gray mouse lemur). RNAcentral describes it as "Y RNA (ENSMICG00000047166.1)". It matches the Rfam family "Y RNA". Rfam says of the family: Y RNAs are components of the Ro ribonucleoprotein particle (Ro RNP), in association with Ro60 and La proteins. The record is from RNAcentral. Lineage: Eukaryota; Metazoa; Chordata; Mammalia; Primates; Cheirogaleidae.
GACUGGUCUGAUGGUAGUGGAUUAUCAGAACCUAUUAACAUUAGUAUCAGUAAAGUUGGUGUUCAACUCCACACUGCUAACUUUGACUGGCUUUUG